RNAcentral lists this transfer RNA (68 nucleotides) under Marmota marmota marmota (Alpine marmot). It matches the Rfam family "tRNA". Rfam says of the family: Transfer RNA (tRNA) molecules are approximately 80 nucleotides in length. Their secondary structure includes four short double-helical elements and three loops (D, anti-codon, and T loops). The record is from Rfam by way of RNAcentral. RNAcentral also lists the same sequence under 1 other name. Lineage: Eukaryota; Metazoa; Chordata; Mammalia; Rodentia; Sciuridae.
GUGGUGGCUCAGUGGUAGAGUGUUCACCUAGCAUGUGUGAGGCACUGGGUUCAAUUCUCAGCACCACA